This 506-nucleotide ribosomal RNA is filed under the name uncultured bacterium. Its description in RNAcentral is "partial 16S ribosomal RNA". It matches the Rfam family "Bacterial small subunit ribosomal RNA", at positions 28 to 523 of the family's 1533-position model. The record is from RNAcentral.
GAUGAACGCUAGCUACAGGCUUAACACAUGCAAGUCGAGGGGUAACGAGAGGAAAGCUUGCUUUCCUUGUCGACGACCGGCGCACGGGUGAGUAACGCGUAUCCAACCUGCCCCCAACUAGGGAAUAACCUUGCGAAAGUAAGACUAAUACCCUAUAAUUUCCUCAGAUGUCAUCUGACGAGGAAUAAAGAUUUAUCGGCUGUGGAUGGGGAUGCGUCUGAUUAGCUUGUUGGCGGGGUAACGGCCCACCAAGGCAACGAUCAGUAGGGGUUCUGAGAGGAAGGUCCCCCACAUUGGAACUGAGACACGGUCCAAACUCCUACGGGAGACAGCAGUGAGGAAUAUUGGUCAAUGGGCGGAAGCCUGAACCAGCCAAGUAGCGUGCAGGAUGACGGCCCUAUGGGUUGUAAACUGCUUUUAUACAGGAAUAAAGUUAGCCACGUGUGGUUAUUUGUAGGUACUGUAUGAAUAAGGACCGGCUAAUUCCGUGCCAGCCGCCGCAGUAA